GCUGGCGGCAGGCCUAACACAUGCAAGUCGAACGGUAACAGGAAGCAGCUUGCUGCUUCGCUGACGAGUGGCGGACGGGUGAGUAAUGUCUGGGAAACUGCCUGAUGGAGGGGGAUAACUACUGGAAACGGUAGCUAAUACCGCAUAACGUCGCAAGACCAAAGAGGGGGACCUUCGGGCCUCUUGCCAUCGGAUGUGCCCAGAUGGGAUUAGCUAGUAGGUGGGGUAACGGCUCACCUAGGCGACGAUCCCUAGCUGGUCUGAGAGGAUGACCAGCCACACUGGAACUG
This 290-nucleotide ribosomal RNA is filed under the name Enterobacter cloacae. Its description in RNAcentral is "partial 16S rRNA". It matches the Rfam family "Bacterial small subunit ribosomal RNA", at positions 35 to 321 of the family's 1533-position model. The record is from RNAcentral. Lineage: Bacteria; Pseudomonadati; Pseudomonadota; Gammaproteobacteria; Enterobacterales; Enterobacteriaceae.